GUUGCCUGCGCGUGAGACCCAGCUUGCUCUGUGGCUGGUUCCUGUAGAGCCCGGGCCAAGUGACUGCACCAGCUGGGCAAAGAAUGAGUGCUUAAACCUGUGUGACUGUCAGCGGCCUGUGGGCAGGAGAGGAACAGAAUGGAGACGAAGAAGAAAUAGAUGGAGAAAAAUCCAAAAGGAAGGUACCACUGAUGACACCCUGUUGCUGGUGAAUCCCAACCCAUGUCUCACAGUCAAGGCCCCCAG
Long non-coding RNA from Grammomys surdaster, 246 nucleotides. RefSeq lists it as uncharacterized. Lineage: Eukaryota; Metazoa; Chordata; Mammalia; Rodentia; Muridae. The record is from RefSeq and is a predicted model, not a curated record. The transcript has 3 exons.